Hypanus sabinus (Atlantic stingray) is the source of this 80-nucleotide non-coding RNA. NCBI's taxonomy places the organism in Eukaryota, Metazoa, Chordata, Chondrichthyes, Myliobatiformes, Dasyatidae. The record is from the annotation of a RefSeq genome assembly.
UCCCUGGUGGUCUAGUGGUCUAGUGGUUAGGAUUCGGCGCUCUCACCGCCGCGGCCCGGGUUCGAUUCCCGGGCAGGGAA